GACGAACGCUGGCGGCGUGCUUAACACAUGCAAGUCGAACGGAAAGGUCUCUUCGGAGAUACUCGAGUGGCGAACGGGUGAGUAACACGUGGGUAAUCUGCCCUGCACAUCGGGAUAAGCCUGGGAAACUGGGUCUAAUACCGGAUAUGACCUCGGGACGCAUGUCCUGUGGUGGAAAGCUUUUGCGGUGUGGGAUGGGCCCGCGGCCUAUCAGCUUGUUGGUGGGGUGAUGGCCUACCAAGGCGACGACGGGUAGCCGGCCUGAGAGGGUGUCCGGCCACACUGGGACUGAGAUACGGCCCAGACUCCUACGGGAGGCAGCAGUGGGGAAUAUUGCACAAUGGGCGCAAGCCUGAUGCAGCGACGCCGCGUGGGGA
RNAcentral lists this ribosomal RNA (377 nucleotides) under uncultured bacterium. Its description in RNAcentral is "bacterial SSU rRNA". It matches the Rfam family "Bacterial small subunit ribosomal RNA", at positions 28 to 407 of the family's 1533-position model. The record is from RNAcentral.